GACGAACGCUGGCGGUGUGCUUCACACAUGCAAGUCGAGCGGGUGAAAGUGGUAGCUUGCUACCAUGAGUAGUCAGCGGCGGACGGGUGAGUAAUACGUAGGAAUCUGCCUUUAGGUGGGGGACAACGGACUGAAAGGUCCGCUAAUACCCCAUAUGCGAGUAAUCGUGAAAGGAGCAAUUCGCCUGAAGAUGAGCCUGCGUCCGAUUAGCUAGUUGGCGGGGUAAUAGCCCACCAAGGCAACGAUCGGUAGUUGGUCUGAGAGGAUGAUCAGCCAC
This 277-nucleotide ribosomal RNA is filed under the name uncultured bacterium. Its description in RNAcentral is "partial 16S ribosomal RNA". It matches the Rfam family "Bacterial small subunit ribosomal RNA", at positions 28 to 311 of the family's 1533-position model. The record is from RNAcentral.